UAAGACGAACCGAGCGAACGUUGUUCGGAAUCACUGGGCUUAAAGGGCGCGUAGGCGGGUCUGCAAGUCUGUGGUGAAAUCCUCCGGCUCAACCGGAGAACUGCCUCGGAUACUGCGGGUCUCGAGGGUGAUAGGGGUAUGCGGAACUAUCGGUGGAGCGGUGAAAUGCGUUGAUAUCGAUAGGAACUCCGGUGGCGAAGGCGGCAUACUGGAUCACUUCUGACGCUGAGGCGCGAAAGCCAGGGGAGCAAACGGGAUUAGAUACCCCGGUAGUCCUGGCCCUAAACGAUGGGUACUAGCUAGUAGGGUUCACAUGGCUUUACUGGCGAAGCAAAAGUGCUAAGUACCCCGCCUGGGGAGUAUGGUCGCAAGGCUG
Molecule: ribosomal RNA, 376 nt
Filed under: uncultured bacterium
Lineage: Bacteria
Description: bacterial SSU rRNA
Rfam family: Bacterial small subunit ribosomal RNA
Source: RNAcentral